RNAcentral lists this ribosomal RNA (492 nucleotides) under uncultured bacterium. Its description in RNAcentral is "partial 16S ribosomal RNA". It matches the Rfam family "Bacterial small subunit ribosomal RNA", at positions 29 to 507 of the family's 1533-position model. The record is from RNAcentral.
AGUGAACGCUGGCGGUAGGCCUAACACAUGCAAGUCGAACGGCAGCACAGUAAGAGCUUGCUCUUACGGGUGGCGAGUGGCGGACGGGUGAGGAAUACAUCCGAAUCUACUUUUUCGUGGGGGAUAACGUAGGGAAACUUACGCUAAUACCGCAUACGACCUACGGGUGAAAGCAGGGGAUCUUCGGACCUUGCGCGAUUGAAUGAGCCGAUGUCGGAUUAGCUAGUUGGCGGGGUAAAGGCCCACCAAGGCGACGAUCCGUAGCUGGUCUGAGAGGAUGAUCAGCCACACUGGAACUGAGACACGGUCCAGACUCCUACGGGAGGCAGCAGUGGGGAAUAUUGGACAAUGGGCGCAAGCCUGAUCCAGCCAUACCGCGUGGGUGAAGAAGGCCUUCGGGUUGUAAAGCCCUUUUGUUGGGAAAGAAAAGCAGCAGGUUAAUACCCCGCUGUUCUGACGGUACCCAAAGAAUAAGCACCGGCUAACUUCGUG